This 94-nucleotide transfer RNA is filed under the name compost metagenome. Its description in RNAcentral is "tRNA-Arg". The record is from RNAcentral.
AAGACCUGUGGCAGAAGGGCCCGCUGCGCACGCUGCGGCUGGGCGACGUGCUAUUGAUCUAGGAGCGCCCUGGCGUUCGGUCCGUCAGAUCUUG